This 274-nucleotide ribosomal RNA is filed under the name uncultured bacterium. RNAcentral describes it as "partial 16S ribosomal RNA". It matches the Rfam family "Bacterial small subunit ribosomal RNA", at positions 523 to 796 of the family's 1533-position model. The record is from RNAcentral.
AUACGGAGGGUCCAAGCGUUAUCCGAAAUCAUUGGGUUUAAAGGGUCCGCAGGCGGUCAAUUAAGUCAGAGGUGAAAGCCCAUCGCUCAACGAUGGAACUGCCUUUGAUACUGGUUGACUUGAGUUAUACGGAAGUAGAUAGAAUAAGUAGUGUAGCGGUGAAAUGCAUAGAUAUUACUUAGAAUACCGAUUGCGAAGGCAGUCUACUACGUAUAUACUGACGCUGAGGGACGAAAGCGUGGGGAGCGAACAGGAUUAGAAACCCCAGUAGUCC